AGCUGAGUUCCUAUUCAGGGAAGCCACUACACGUAGCUUCGGACGUACAUUGGACGGUAAGCCUGGGCGUGUUCGGAAGGUGGUCCGAUUUUCCCGCCCAGCUUUAACUGAGGCCAGAUGGUAAGAGGUUGCCUCAGUGGGGUCCUUAAAAGACAACUUGAUGAGCCUAGGUUUUGGGCCAGGUCGUCCAAGGCGGAUAGCACCCGUUGGGGGAACGCAGCCUAGGUCUUUGGCUGAGUUGGCAGCAAAAGCCUGAAGAUCAGCCAUGUCUUCUGGCACCCCAAUGGCAAUGACUUCAUGGAAUCGGAAGGGCGUC
Long non-coding RNA from Octopus sinensis (East Asian common octopus), 316 nucleotides. RefSeq lists it as uncharacterized. The record is from RefSeq and is a predicted model, not a curated record. NCBI's taxonomy places the organism in Eukaryota, Metazoa, Mollusca, Cephalopoda, Octopoda, Octopodidae. The transcript is spliced from 3 exons.